This 459-nucleotide ribosomal RNA is filed under the name uncultured bacterium. RNAcentral describes it as "partial 16S ribosomal RNA". It matches the Rfam family "Bacterial small subunit ribosomal RNA", at positions 338 to 795 of the family's 1533-position model. The record is from RNAcentral.
CCUACGGGUGACAGCAGUGAGGAAUAUUGGUCAAUGGGCGGGAGCCUGAACCAGCCAAGUAGCGUGAAGGAUGACAGCCCUAUGGGUUUUAAGCUUCUUUUAUAAGGGAAUAAAGUGCCCCACGUGUGGGGUUUUGUAUGUACCUUAUGAAUAAGCAUCGGCUAAUACCGUGUCAGCAGCCGCGGUAAUACGGAAGAUGCGAGGGUUAUCCGGAUGUAUUGGGGUAAAGGGGACCGUAGGCGGUUCCAUAAGUCAGCGGUAAAAUCGUGCGGCUCAACCGGACCGUGCCUUGGAAACUGUGCAACUUGAGUAUGCGCAGGGUACAUGGAAUUCGUGGUGUAGCGGUGAAAUGCUUAGAUAUCACGAAGAACUCCGAUCGCGAAGGCAUUGUACCGGAGCAAGACUGACGCUGAGGCUCGAAAGUGCGGGUAUCAAACAGGAUUAGAUACCCGGGUAGUC